GGGGCCUGGCCGGAAGAGGGCGUCGCGGGGGUGUGGCCUAGAAGGGUUUCUCUGGCUCCCUCACUCCGGCUUCCCUCGCUGCUUCCUGUGUGCAGUGAGGUGAGCAGCGCCCCUCCACCGGGCCCUUCCACUUUGCCACUGACCAUGCAAGGGCUGAAGCUUCUGAAAUGUGAGCCAAAAUCGAACUCUCCUCUUUUAAGUUGUGGACUUGGUGUUGCGUCUCAACAAUGAGAAGCAGAUACACUCCAACAUUAUCGGUACCUUAUUACAAAGAAGGCCACAAAAUGCAGGCAUCAGGGAGCCAGGCGACGCUGGUGUUUCACGGGGCAAGUGGGUCAACCAGCUGCCCUGCCACUCCCCAGCACCCUGCUGACCCUGACCACUGGACCAAUCACUGCCUCUGGCAGAGGAUAACUAUGGACCCUGUCCCUGAGGAAGACGCUGUGGAGGAGGGGACAUCGGGGAUGACACAGAUGGGAAGUCAAGGCAGCAGCAAGAGGGUAACUUGCCCCACUGAGAAGACAAGAGACAGCUGGCACUCACCUGGUCCCCAGCCAUGCUCCAUGCACAGAAGCCGCCUGCAUGGAAUACCGACGCUGUCACACUCCAGCUGGGACACUUCACCAACACUAGGCCCGCCUCUUCUGCCUUUCUUCUCCCUCAAACUCCCAAGGACCGUCCUGCCUUCACCCGCCCAGCAAAACUCCCUCCUGCGGCAGGACAUUCCGCUCACUCUGUAGCUGUACUCCAGCAAAACUCCCUCCUGCGGCAGGACAUUCCGCUCACUCUGUAGCUGUGCUCACCUGCAGGGGCAGAAGGCCCCAUCUCGGGUUUCAUUCAGAUCUCAAGACCAGCCAGGUGUGGUGGCGCAUGCCUAUAAUUCUAGCACUUGGGAGGCUGAGGCAGGAGGAUUGCUGUGAGUUCCAGGUCAGCCUGGACUACAUAGCAAGACCCUGUCUUGGAAAGAAAUUAUUAAAAAAUAUGUGUCAAAGAUGAGAACCAAGAUAUCAUGUAAAGGUACAAGAUCCCAAU
Molecule: long non-coding RNA, 1032 nt
Filed under: Fukomys damarensis (Damara mole-rat)
Lineage: Eukaryota; Metazoa; Chordata; Mammalia; Rodentia; Bathyergidae
Description: lncRNA (ENSFDAG00000031685.1)
Source: RNAcentral